UACAGAGGUCCCAAGCGUUGUUCGGAUUCACUGGGCGUAAAGGGUGCGUAGGUGGUCAGGUAAGUCGGAUGUGAAAUCUCCGAGCUCAACUCGGAAACUGCAUUGGAAACUACCUGGCUCGAGGGUUGGAGGGGGGACUGGAAUGCUUGGUGUAGCAGUGAAAUGCGUAGAUAUCAAGCGGAACACCAGUGGCGAAGGCGAGUCCCUGGACAACUUCUGACGCUGAGGCACGAAAGCUAGGGGAGCAAACAGG
This 253-nucleotide ribosomal RNA is filed under the name uncultured bacterium. RNAcentral's name for it is "partial 16S ribosomal RNA". It matches the Rfam family "Bacterial small subunit ribosomal RNA", at positions 524 to 776 of the family's 1533-position model. The record is from RNAcentral.